This 1726-nucleotide long non-coding RNA is filed under the name Fukomys damarensis (Damara mole-rat). RNAcentral's name for it is "lncRNA (ENSFDAG00000031246.1)". Lineage: Eukaryota; Metazoa; Chordata; Mammalia; Rodentia; Bathyergidae. The record is from RNAcentral.
CUGGGAUAAGUGAGGAGGAGUAGGCAGAGAGCUGCCCCCCCAGGCAUUAUUCAGGGCCCUGGGAUAUGGGGGACACUGGCAGGGUUGGGAUCCAGAACAACCCAGUCACCAUCAAGGGAAGGAGGUACCCACCUAACAUUGGCAGCAGCUUGCCUGUCUGCCUAGCAAGGGCAGAGCCUCUAAGGGAAGGAGCCAACUGUGUGGCCCCCAUGCCCUUUUUCUUCCUGCUGGAGGGGCCAGUGGGCAUGGGGGGCAGGCAGGGACUGCAUUGUGAGGCACUGGGGUGUGUUCAGAUGCUCUCUGUCAGCCGGGCGUGGUGGCGUAUGCCUGUAAUCCCAGCACUUGGGAGGCUGAGGCAGGAGGAUCGCUGUGAGUUCAAGACCAGCCUGGGCUACAUAGUGAGCCCCAGGUCAGUCUCAACUACAUAAUGAGACCCUGUCUCAAAAAAAAGCAGAUGCUCUCUGUCCUCUGAGCCUGAAUAUCCCCAGUGAUCUGAGGUCCCAGCUCGCGCUAGGGGCUAGCAGGCCUGGUGGUCAGUGCACUAGUCCUAUCCCCUGGCUUUCUAGCCACUGGAGGCCUCAGGGCCUGAGUUCUCAGAUGCCCACAUGACAUGGUUGAACUUUGUCCGUCGGCCAGAUGACGGGGCUUCCAAGCGACGGUGCCGAUGCCAGGAUAAGAAGCUGCGAGGUCUCUUGGGGCCCCCAGGACCCCCAGGACCCCCUGGGCCCCCAGGCCCCCCUGGUGCAGAAGUUACCCCAGAAGCCCUGCUGCAAGAGUUUCAGGAGAUGCUAAGAGGUAAGGCUGCUGGUAUCUCCUUCCAGGUCCCUUAGCCCCAUCAGGAUGGGAUGGGCCUGACCCUGUGUCGCAUUGGCUUCUUCCCCACAGAGGCCACAGAGCGAAGGUUCUCUGCACUGCUGGACACAUGGCUGCCACAGGUGAGUGGCCAGCGACUGGUGGUCGAGGCCUUCCACUGCCGGCUGAAGGCUCCUGUGCUGGUAGACCAGAGGACCCUGGUGGAGCUACGGGGCUUCCAGGCUCCUGCUGUCCAGGGUGCCUUCCUGAGGGGGUCUGGACUGAGCCUGGCCUCUGGCCGAUUCACAGCCCCUGUCUCUGCCAUCUUCCAGUUCUCUGCCAGCCUUCAUGUGGGUGAGCCAAGUGGCUGUGUGUGCAGUGGGAGGCAGAGGGCGGAUUGGCCACAGACUGCUCACUGGGAGCCCUGGGCCGCACACUACCCUCCCUGCCCCCACAGCUGCCACCAGGCCUGUCCUGGGUGGUAUCCUGAAGCUAGUGUCUCCAUAGACCACAGCGCACUGCAGGGCAGGGCCCGGCUGCGAGCCCGGGACACCGUGCGUGUCCUCAUCUGCAUAGAGUCCUUGUGCCAUCGCCACAUGUCCCUGGAGGCCAUCUCAGGCCUGGAGAGUAACAGCAGGGUCUUCACGGCACAGGUGCAAGGGCUGCUGCAGCUGCAGGCUGGACAGUACGCCUCUGUGUUUGUGGACAAUGGCUCUGGGGUGGCCCUCACCAUCCAGGGUGGUUCCAUCUUCUCUGGGUUGCUCCUGGGCACGUGAUGGCACCAUAGAGGAACCACCAGCCACCUCAGGGAGGAGGUGAAGAGGAUCCCCAAUAAUAAUACAGAGCUUGCAAUAAUAAAGAGCCCCCAGCCCUCCCUGUUGCCCAUGGAUGCUGCCUGGUUAUUGCAUUGGUGGAGGUGGGGGCUGGGCAGCUG